GUAGUCAAAUUCGUAUCAAUCCACAUAUGUUGGGGUGGACUGGAGUGGAACUUAAACUAAAUUCUACCUCAAUCUAUCACAACACAUGUGGAUUAAGGUGAACCCAACA
MicroRNA precursor from Sorghum bicolor (sorghum), 109 nucleotides. It matches the Rfam family "MIR5565 microRNA precursor family". The record is from Rfam. Lineage: Eukaryota; Viridiplantae; Streptophyta; Magnoliopsida; Poales; Poaceae.